This 322-nucleotide ribosomal RNA is filed under the name uncultured eukaryote. Its description in RNAcentral is "partial 18S ribosomal RNA". It matches the Rfam family "Eukaryotic small subunit ribosomal RNA", at positions 1470 to 1796 of the family's 1831-position model. The record is from RNAcentral.
CCCUUAGAUGUUCUGGGCCGCACGCGUGCUACACUGAGUGGAUCAGCGGGUCAGGUUGCGCGAAAGUGUUUCCUAAUCUUGAAAUCCGCUCGUGAUGGGGAUUGACGGUUGCAAUUUUCCGUCAUGAACGAGGAAUACCUUGUAAGCGCGGGUCAUCAUCCCGCGCUGAAUACGUCCCUGCCCUUUGUACACACCGCCCGUCGCUCCUACCGAUUGAGUGGUCCGGUGAGGCUUUGGGAUCUGAGCAAAGAGAGCGUUUCGCUCGUUUUGCCCGGAAAACUCAGUCGAACCUUAUCAUUUAGAGGAAGGAGAAGUCAUAACA